RNAcentral lists this ribosomal RNA (1755 nucleotides) under Triticum aestivum (bread wheat). RNAcentral describes it as "partial small subunit ribosomal RNA". The record is from RNAcentral. Lineage: Eukaryota; Viridiplantae; Streptophyta; Magnoliopsida; Poales; Poaceae.
AUGAUUAACAUCGGUCCAUUAAGAAUGGUCCAAAUACUGUCACUGAUCCACAACGAAGAUGGGAGCCUGAGUAGCAUGCCCUACAUACCAGUAGACGUCAAAAACCUAAAGGCAAAGUACCAUAGAGAGAGCAGGUUGGCUGAUAGAGAAGCCACGAUAGCCUACUUCAAAGAGAAAGCAAAAGCAGAUAGCGAUUUCUUCUACAGGAUAAGGUUGGAUGAUGAGGACCGUGUCAGAAACAUGUAUUGGGUGGAUGGUGCUGCAAGAAGAGCCUACAAACAUUUCCGUGAUUGCAUAUUGUUCGACACAACAUAUCUCACGAAUAUGUACAAGAUGCCAUGUGCUCCAUUCAUAGGAAUAAACAACCACAAUCAGUCCUUGCAGUUCGGUUGCGAUCUUGUUCGGAACGAAGAUACCGAUGGUUACACUUGGUUGUUCAAAACCUUCUUGGAGUGCAUGGAUGGACUAGAUCCGAUGAACAUAAUAACGGACCAGGAUUUUAGCAUGCACGCAGGCAUAGAGGAGGUCUUUCCAUUGGCAGUGCACAGGCACUACAAGUGGCAUAUUAUUAAGAAGGCUGAAGAGAGGCUAGGACCAUUCUUCGCUGACCGUCUAGAGCUGCAGAAGGCAUUCGAGUUGUGUGUGGACCACAACUUGACGGUGGAGGAGUUUGAACGGAGCUGGACGACUAUGAUUGAAACGUACCAAGUCCAAGACAACGAGACACUAAAAAGCUUGUGGGAGAAGCGAAUGUACUGGGUGCCGGCCUACUUCAUGCAGUGCUUCUUCCCAUUUCUGCAGACUACACAACGUAGCGAAGGGUUCAAUGCUGUUUUGAAGUGUUACGUGAGCCCUGGAAACUCAUUGCUGCAGUUUUCCAAGCAGUAUUUAGCUUUGCAACAAAAAAUACUGGGAUCUGAGCUACAUCAAGAAGCAAAUACCGCACUCAAGCAGCCUAAAUUGCUAACAUACUUACCGAUGGAGAGGCAUAUGAGCAAGAUAUACACCAGCAAGAUGUUUAACAAAUUCCAGGAAGAAAUAAAGCAGGCCAGCAUGUACACAGAUUACGAGGUUGAUGAACAAACCUUCAAGGUGUGUACUCUCAUGGGCAUGUCCGAUUCAGAACCUGAAGACUCGGACAAGGGACGAAACUACUUUGUUAAGGCCUCAAUAACCAAAGGUGAAUACUACUGUCAAUGUUGCAAAUACGAAUGGGACGGGAUUGUGUGCUGCCACAUACUCAAAGUAAUGGACAUGUACGCGGUCACGCAAUUGCCCCGCCAUUUCAUACGACGGUGGUGGACUUGGGACGCUCACGAUGCAUUGGGGCCACAAACAUCAACUACAAUUUUGGCUGUACAUGAUGAGAGACCAGUGGAAACCAUGGAGUUCAUUAGGCACAUUGUAUUGUCAAGGAACUAUGCUGAGCUAAUAGAUGAAGCAUGCAAAAGUGAUGAGACGGCCAGGGUGGCAAAAAAGCACAGGAAGGCCCUGAAAAGAGAGCUUGAUGAGAUCAAGAAGAGAAAGGUUGAAGAAGCCUUGCAUCGGUUCCCCCGCACCUCAAGUGUGCUUUCGUCCACGGGUCCAUCCUCUGAAAACUCGGAGGUAGGUUCUGGAACAGCAAGCACGCAGACUCAAGUCAGGAACCCACCCCAUUUCGUCACAAAAGGCCGUCCGAAAGAGAUACGGUACAAAUCGGGGUUGGAAAUUGAAGCAAAGCACAAGAAGGCAAAGAAAGGGGCGGGCAAUCCAUAA